GGGGGCGUAAAGGUUUCGACGGGGAGUUUGAGGCAGGAUAAGCGGGUAGAGGGCGGAAACCUCUUAAAAAGUCCAAACUUAAAAUUAAACGCUAACGAUAACGUAGCACUGGCAGCGUAAGCUGCGCCGCUGCUUUUGAGCAGCCCGUCUGACCGUUGAGGACCACGGCUUCGGUUCAGGCGUCAUUCAGUGGUAAAUGUGCACCGCCCGUUUGCUUUUGAAGCGGUCAUAAACAAAAAAGCUACCCGAUCAUGCAGCCCGCGCAUCGGCGGCAAGACCGGGGAAAUUCAGUAGGUGCCCUGCACCCGGAGAAAGUUCUGUCAAAGGCUUUUCGGACGCGGGUUCGAUUCCCGCCGCCUCCACCA
This 365-nucleotide transfer-messenger RNA is filed under the name Eubacteriales. RNAcentral's name for it is "UMGS902 sp900761025 Standard tmRNA". It matches the Rfam family "transfer-messenger RNA". From Rfam's summary of the family: Bacterial tmRNA, also known as 10Sa RNA or SsrA, is named for its dual tRNA and mRNA-like properties. Its role is to liberate the mRNA from a stalled ribosome. The record is from RNAcentral. RNAcentral also lists the same sequence under 2 other names. Lineage: Bacteria; Bacillati; Bacillota; Clostridia.